GAUGAAGAACGUAGCGAAAUGCGAUAAGUAAUGUGAAUUGCAGAACUCAGUGAAUCAUCGAAUCUUUGAACGCACAUUGCGCCCCUUGGUAUUCCAUGGGGCAUGCCUGUUCGAGCGUCAUUUGUACCUUCAAGCCUUGCUUGGUGUUGGGUGUUUGUCUCGCCUCUGCGCGCAGACUCGCCUCAAAACAAUUGGCAGCCGGCGUAUUGAUUUCGGAGCGCAGUACAUCUCGCGCUUUGCACUCAGAACGACGACGUCCAAAAGUACAUUUUUACACUCUUGACCUCGGAUCAGGUAGGGAUACCCGCUGAACUUAAGCAUAUCAAUAAGCGGAGGA
Molecule: unclassified non-coding RNA, 337 nt
Filed under: soil metagenome
Description: partial contains 5.8S ribosomal RNA, internal transcribed spacer 2, and large subunit ribosomal RNA
Rfam family: 5.8S ribosomal RNA (bases 1-120)
Source: RNAcentral